AAGGGAACGACCUCAAGCUUUGCUUGAGGAGCCGUGGCAGGUGGUGCAUGGCUGUCGUCAGCUCAUGUCGUGGGACGUUGGGUUAAGUCCCGUAACGAGCGCAACCCUUGCCCUUAGUUGCCAGCGCCAUGGGCGGGGACUUUAAGGGGACUGCCGGAGAAUAUCCGGAGGAAGGAGGGGAUGACGUCAAGUCAUUAUGCCCCUUAUGCUCUGGGCGACACACGUGCUACAAUGGACACUACAGAGGGGAGCGAUCCCGCGAGGGUGAGCAAAUCUCAAAAAGGUGUCCCCAGUGCGGAUUGGGGUCUGCAACUCGACCCCAUGAAGCUGGAAUCGGUAGUAAUCGCGGGUCAGCCAUACCGCGGUGAAUACGUACUUGGGCCUUGUACACACCGCCCGUCACACCAACCGAGUAGGCAACACCCGAAGUCGACGUAUGUUGCCUAAGGUGUUACCUGCAAGGGGGGUGAAGUCGUAACAAGGUAACC
Molecule: ribosomal RNA, 488 nt
Filed under: uncultured KB1 group bacterium
Lineage: Bacteria; Candidatus Calescibacteriota
Description: bacterial SSU rRNA
Rfam family: Bacterial small subunit ribosomal RNA
Source: RNAcentral